AACACGUAGGUACGUACCAAGAAGUCAGGGAUAUUCCGGCGAAAGUCGGCGCAAUACUUGAUGGUCUCCCAAAUUCAUAUUUGGGAGUAAAGAUUUAUCGCUUCUUGAACGGCCUGCGGGCUAUCAGCUAGUUGGUACGGUAACGGCGUACCAAGGCUACGACGGCUAGGGGAGGUGAGAGCCUGACCCCCACCGAUGGAACUGAGACACGGUCCAUACUCCUACGGGAGGCCGCAGUCGAGAAUCUUCCGCAAUGGGCGAAAGCCUGACGGAGCGACGCCGCGUGGUGGAUGAAGUCCUUAGGGACGUAAACACCUUUUAUGAGUGAAGAAGUUUAUUGACAUUAGCUCAUGAAUAAGGGGCUCCCAACUCUGUGCCAGCAGGAGCGGUAAUACAGAGGCCUCAAGCGUUAUCCGGAUUCACUGGGCGUAAAGGGUGCGUAGGCGGUUAUAUUAGUCGGGCGUAAAAUCCUAGGGCUCAACCUUAGGCCCGCGUUCGAAACGGUAUAACUAGGAGUAGUGAGAGGUGAACAGAACUCACGGUGUAGGGGUGAAAUCCGUUGAUAUCGUGGGGAAUACCAAAUGCGAAGGCAGUUCACUGGCGCUUACUCGACGCUGAGGCACGAAAGCGUGGGUAGCGAACGGGAUUAGAUACCCCGGUAGUCCACGCCCUAAACGCUGUCCGCUGGCUUUAGGGAGAAUCGACCCUCCCUGAGGCGAAGGUAACCCGUUAAGCGGACCGCCUGGGUAGUACGAGCGCAAGCUUAAAACUCAAAGGAAUAGACGGGGGCUCGCACAAGCGGUGGAUCAUGAGGCUUAAUUCGUCGAUAAGCGAAAAACCUUACCCAGGCUAGAAACCAUACUGCACGCUCUCCGAAAGGAGAGAAUCCUUCGAGGGUGUAUGGCAGGUGAUGCAUGGCCGUCGUCAGUUCGUGGCUUGAGCUGUUCCCUUAAGUG
Molecule: ribosomal RNA, 956 nt
Filed under: uncultured organism
Description: bacterial SSU rRNA
Rfam family: Bacterial small subunit ribosomal RNA
Source: RNAcentral